GUGGGGAAUAUUGGACAAUGGGCGAAAGCCUGAUCCAGCAACGCCGCGUGAGGGAUGACGGCCUUCGGGUUGUAAACCUCUUUCAGCAGGGACGAAGCGCAAGUGACGGUACCUGCAAAAGAAGCACCGGCCAACUACGUGCCAGCAGCCGCGGUAAUACGUAGGGUGCGAGCGUUGUCCGGAAUUAUUGGGCGUAAAGGGCUCGUAGGCGGUUUGUCGCGUCGGGAGUGAAAACUCAGGGCUUAACCCUGAGCUUGCUUCCGAUACGGGCAGACUAGAGGUAUGCAGGGGAGAACGGAAUUCCUGGUGUAGCGGUGAAAUGCGCAGAUAUCAGGAGGAACACCGGUGGCGAAGGCGGUUCUCUGGGCAUUACCUGACGCUGAGGAGCGAAAGUGUGGGGAGCGAACAGGAUUAGAAACCCGAGUAGUCC
This 430-nucleotide ribosomal RNA is filed under the name uncultured Nocardioidaceae bacterium. RNAcentral describes it as "bacterial SSU rRNA". It matches the Rfam family "Bacterial small subunit ribosomal RNA", at positions 354 to 796 of the family's 1533-position model. Lineage: Bacteria; Bacillati; Actinomycetota; Actinomycetes; Propionibacteriales; Nocardioidaceae. The record is from RNAcentral.